Molecule: long non-coding RNA, 553 nt
Organism: Anneissia japonica
Lineage: Eukaryota; Metazoa; Echinodermata; Crinoidea; Comatulida; Comatulidae
Exons: 3
Source: RefSeq, a predicted model, not a curated record
UAAAAUACAAGACAUUUUGCAGAUGCUGGAAGUCUCUCUUAGAAUAUUUAGAAGCGGUGGAGCAGCUCUACAACACAAGUCGGAGUUGAUAAAGGUUGCUCAAGAACACCUAGAACUGACGAUGGGGCAGAGGCGUGUAUACAAUUAGAUGAUAGCAGAGUCAAAGGAGCAGGUGAAAGACAUGCAGAUAGGCAUCCACAGAUCAAUGUUAUUUGAAGGUGUGUCUCACACUAUGCUUUUGACUAUGCCCAGCAAGUCCUCUACCAAUCGGACCCGAUGCAAGCCGGGCCAACCUACUUCCUUACACCGAGAAAAUGCAAGAUUUUCGGUAUGUGUUGUACCGGAUUAACCAAACAGGUGAAUUAUCUUGUGGAUGAAGCGCAAAUUAUAAAGAAUUGCUCAUAUUUUGUAGUCAACCUUGUCCACCACUUUUUCGAAAACUGGGGCGUUGGUGAGACUGUGGCAUCGCUCAGAAUAAAAAUCAAUUGAGGAUGGUUUAUCUGAUGUAGCGAAUGAUGACUGGCCGGCACAGAGAAAUUACAAUCAAUUUCAU